GCGCACGCUGGGGGCGUGCUUAACCCAUGCAAGUCGAACGGUGAAGCGCCUUCCUUUUUGGUGGGUGUGGAUGAGUGGCGAACGGGUGAGUAACACGUGAGUAACCUGCCCCCUUCUUCUGGAUAACCGCAUGAAAGUGUGGCUAAUACGGGAUAUUCUGGGUCUGUCGCAUGAUGGGUCUGGGAAAGAUAUUGUUUCGGUGGGGGAUGGGCUCGCGGCCUAUCAGCUGGUUGGUGGGGUGAUGGCCUACCAAGGCGGUGACGGGUAGCCGGCCUGAGAGGGUGGACGGUCACACUGGGACUGAGACACGGCCCAGACUCCUACGGGAGGCAGCAGUGGGGAAUAUUGCACAAUGGGCGCAAGCCUGAUGCAGCGACGCCGCGUGAGGGAUGGAGGCCUUCGGGUUGUGAACCUCUUUCGCCAGUGAAGCAGGCCUGCCUCGUUUGUGGGUGGGUUGACGGUAGCUGGAUAAGAAGCGCCGGCUAACUACGUG
Molecule: ribosomal RNA, 493 nt
Filed under: uncultured bacterium
Lineage: Bacteria
Description: partial 16S ribosomal RNA
Rfam family: Bacterial small subunit ribosomal RNA
Source: RNAcentral